Molecule: ribosomal RNA, 399 nt
Filed under: uncultured bacterium
Lineage: Bacteria
Description: bacterial SSU rRNA
Rfam family: Bacterial small subunit ribosomal RNA
Source: RNAcentral
AGCGAACGUUAGCGGCGGGCCUAACACAUGCAAGUCGAGCGAGAAAGUGGCUUCGGCCAUCAGUAAAGCGGCGGACGGGUGAGUAACACGUAGGUAAUCUUCCCUUGAGCGGGGGACAACGUUUCGAAAGGAACGCUAAUACCGCAUAAGUUUCCAUGGCCUCCGGGUUGUGGAAGGAAAGCUAGGUCGCAAGAUCCGGCACUCGAGGAGGAGCCUGCGUCGCAUCAGCUAGUUGGUGGGGAAUGGCCUACCAAGGCGAAGACGCGUAGCUGGUCUGAGAGGAUGAUCAGCCACACUGGGACUGAGACACGGCCCAGACUCCUACGGGAGGCAGCAGUGGGGAAUAUUGGACAAUGGGCGCAAGCCUGAUCCAGCCACGCCGCGUGAGUGAUGAAGGCC